Molecule: ribosomal RNA, 487 nt
Filed under: uncultured bacterium
Lineage: Bacteria
Description: partial 16S ribosomal RNA
Rfam family: Bacterial small subunit ribosomal RNA
Source: RNAcentral
GACGAACGCUGGCGGCGUGCUUAACACAUGCAAGUCGAACGGAAAGGCUCCAGCUUGCUGGAGUACUCGAGUGGCGAACGGGUGAGUAACACGUGGGUAAUCUGCCCUGCACUCUGGGAUAAGCCUGGGAAACUGGGUCUAAUACUGGAUAUGACCUUUCUCCUUAUGGGGUUUGGUGGAAAGUUUUUCGGUGUAGGAUGAGCCCGCGGCCUAUCAGCUUGUUGGUGGGGUGAUGGCCUACCAAGGCGACGACGGGUAGCCGGCCUGAGAGGGUGAUCGGCCACAUUGGGACUGAGAUACGGCCCAGACUCCUACGGGAGGCAGCAGUGGGGAAUAUUGGACAAUGGGCGCAAGCCUGAUCCAGCCAUACCGCGUGGGUGAAGAAGGCCUUCGGGUUGUAAAGCCCUUUUGUUGGGAAAGAAAAGCAGCAGGUUAAUACCCCGCUGUUCUGACGGUACCCAAAGAAUAAGCACCGGCUAACUUCGUG